AUGGCAUGCACGCAGCGCAUAGGAUUCUUCUGCCGUCCGUCCCGGUGUGAUAAACAAAGGCAGGUGGGGCGCGGGGUCUGUAUCAUGGCACCGAAAGGGACCAAAACUCGUGGGCCGUGUCGGGCACGGGUGCGACUUUUCUGGCCGUCCGCCCAGAUCUGGCCUCGGUACCAGGCAUUUAAUACGAAAGUUAAUGAAUUCCGGCCGGAACGAUCAGGCAGGCGCGAGCCAGCUGCGCAAACAAGUUGUUUCCUACUCCGUGCUGAUAACAGACGCCACACAAAACAAAACAGGCUAUCUCCACGGAGGUCACGCACGCCAGAUGCGCACGCAAGCCGCGAGGCUCUCCUAUCCUUUCUCCGUUUCCUCCUCUGCCCAUGGCUCUACCAAACCUCGCCGCCGGGCACCCCCGUCGGCGGCGCCUGCCCGCCGCCGGGCCGACCAGGCCACCCGACGCAUGCCUGCGCUGGAUCCGACGUGUGA
This 483-nucleotide ribosomal RNA is filed under the name Triticum aestivum (bread wheat). RNAcentral describes it as "partial small subunit ribosomal RNA". The record is from RNAcentral. Lineage: Eukaryota; Viridiplantae; Streptophyta; Magnoliopsida; Poales; Poaceae.